CUCAAAUGGGUCUAGACCUAUUCCCUACACUUCUAGCUUCAUUUAGUUUCUUGUAUCAUUGAUUUUAGUGAACAAUCGAGCUUGAUAUAAACUCUGGAAGUUAGACCAAAAACCUGGAAAGACGUAGGCCUUCUCGAGGAAGGCGAGUGCAUUGGUACUCGCAUAUGCGUGGACGCAUGAGGGUGGUGACGCGUGCAGCACAUGGCAGCGCGUGGAGGAACCCAAGGUCCCUCAUUAGGUUUCUCGAUGUGCCGAACCCGAAUCCGCCCUUUGUUUUCUAAAAUUUGAUCUUUUUAAAAUAGUUCUUUUAUUAGCCGUACUUUGUACGAAAAACGCGUUUAUAUGUUAGUACGUUAUAUAUUUACAUAAAUGGUUUCAUUUCUAGGUGAAACGCAUCGCAAGGACUCUCAAUGCUACGAGGUGGGUUCGACUCGAUUACAUAUUUUUUUAGUGGAUCUUUUCUUUGAUAUAUACGUGUAUAUAUGUAUAUGUUUAGUUUCCAUAUAUACAUCUAAUAACAAAUUUUCUAUAGGAUUGCCAUAACUAAAUUAACAUUUAUAAGAAAUGACGUAACGAUGAGAAUUAGGAGACCAUUAUAAAUCCUACGGAAGGCAUUCUAGUCAACCUUGGGUACGUGUCUACCCUACUACACUUCGUAUUAUUGUUCAAACAGACAAAUCGUCUAAAAGAAUUGCCCGGAUAUUGAAAUCUAGUUGUGAUCAUUAAUUCUUCAAUCACCCAACAAAUACUCUGCUAAGCGAAUCAUUACUGUUGGUGAUUGAAUAUUUCAGAAGCUACCGUUGUAGCGAGAUGUUAUGCAUUAAUCUAGUUACUUUGUAUUCUAGAUUGAUGGACUUGUUUUGACUCUCAAAUUCUUGAUUGUUCUUAUAGCCUUCUCAACACAGUUUUUCACUAUAAAUUCGAGAGACAUUUUCAUAAUGAAUCUACUUGCUGAGACAUAUGUGAAGUAUAAUGUUUGGAUGCCUAGUGUGCAUGUCACUCUUGUACCUCAUCAUGAUGCACGUAUCACUUCCAAGUUUUUGGGAGUCUUCAUGAAAGCCAUGGGUACAAAGUUAUUAUUUAUUACCACAUUUCACCCUCAGAUUAACUGCUAGUCCGAAUGAACUAUCCGGACCUUCGAGAACAUGUUGCAUUUAUCCAUUCUAUAGUUUUAGCAUGAUUGUAAUAGACACUUAUCUCUGUUAAGGUUGCGUGUAACUACAAUUACUAUUUCAAUUUUGGUUUGGCACCAUUCGAGAUGUUAUAUAGAGAUUUUAAGCACAAUACAUGAUUGACAUGUGAGUAUUGCGAUCAGGUAUUUGAAUGAUCAAGAUUUUGAGGUAGCAUUUUGUGUGCUAUUGACGUUACCACCCGAGAGGGUAGUACUUGAGCGCGGUCGAGGCGCUAGUCAGACGAUUUAUAUGUAUUUCCCAAUGAGGGCCAAGAUGGUAAUAUUGCACCCUUGGGAAUUAUUUGCUUGCUUAUCUUAACAACAGUGAGUUGUAGGUAUUGCGGGCUGCAGACCAUAAUAUCGAUAACUUAUUCAUUGGAUUCGUUAAGUAAGUUGACAAGUAGGUCCGUUUACGUUAGCAUUUUUAGUGAUACAUUUAUUGUUUGGGCGUAACCUAAAGAUGUUACAUUUACCUUUGGAGUACAUGAUGCAACAAGUGCGUAGGUGAAAAAUAUUCUAUGUUCAAUUUUAAUUUCAGUACAAUUAUUUAACUUUAUGUUACUAUUUAUGUAUUUUGACGGGAUGUUAUUAUACAUAUGUAAAUACUUUCAACUUUUUGUUUUUAUAAAAUAAAAAAAAUAGUAUUAUAUUCUAAUAUUGCACUAAAGAGAAGGAAGGUAUGAGUUUGGGGGCAUGAAAGAGGAAUCAUUUCACUCCGAUCGCGACGGAAUGGCAUUAUCUUUUAUGCAACCGCUCUAACUUGAUAUCUUCUUUACAUAAUUACUUUUUUGUUGUCUUUUCACUAUUUUUGUAUAACAAAUUAUUUUAAAUUUUGGAGACGAAAUUUUUUUUAAGGUGGGUAGAUUGUGACAACCCGUUCCUAAAUUCUACAAUUUUAUUAAUUUUGAAUGAGUGAAUUGACAAAAAAUGCCCCUAGAUACGAGGGAGUUGACUUUUGUUGACCAGCAUACUAUGAGAUAUAUAAAACAUUCUUUUAGCGUAUCCUCGUAAUACUUGUCACUACGAACGCGUAGGUGCAAGCAGAAUCGAAUUUGGAGUUACGAAGGAGAUUUUACGGACUUACAAAGUCGAAGGGCAUUUUGGUAAAUCUAUAAUUCCAGAUAAAUACCCUUUAUUAUUUUAAUAAUUUUUAUAGGAUUUUUCUGCAUGGUGGGACCCACCCACAUAGGUCUCCUAUCCCCCUUGUCUGCAUGUCAUUCCUUCCCACUUUCCCGGUUACAUUUCCUAUUUUUUUUUUUUAACUCUUUCACUCUUUCUCACUGAAACUCUCUCUCUUCCCCUCAUUUUCAUCUUCACUGAAGCACAGUGGCAAAAAUGGAUAGUGACCAUACCACACCAUCCCUCCCCUCACCCACGUGUAUCCUCUCUCUGUCUCAGUCUCUUCUUUUCUUUCCAACUCUCUCAAACCUCUAUCUCUCUAAAACUCUCUCCUCUCAAACUCUCUAUGCACUCAACAUGCACAUUAGCACUAAGACCACCCCCACUUGACUACU
RNAcentral lists this long non-coding RNA (2685 nucleotides) under Malus domestica (apple). RNAcentral describes it as "long non-coding RNA (MDOM_LNC015332)". The record is from RNAcentral. Lineage: Eukaryota; Viridiplantae; Streptophyta; Magnoliopsida; Rosales; Rosaceae.